Paramuricea clavata is the source of this 202-nucleotide non-coding RNA. Lineage: Eukaryota; Metazoa; Cnidaria; Anthozoa; Malacalcyonacea; Plexauridae. The record is from the annotation of a GenBank genome assembly.
AAUAUCAUAUUCACCUGAGUACACUACACCAACACAGAAAAAAAAAAAAAAAUUCAUAUUACUAGAAUACAUUGGUAUCGAAGGAACUAGAUUCUGUUCCGAAAUAUCACUUACUCGAACCGUCCUGACCGCGUAGCUCAGUUGGAAGAGCAUUGGGCUAGUAUUCCAAAGGUCGUAGGUUCGAAUCCCACCGUGGUCGGGC